CCCUUAGAUGUUCUGGGCUGCACGCGCGCUACACUGAAGCGUUCAACGAGUAUUCACCUUGCCCGGGAGGGUUGGGUAAUCUUUUGAAAACGCUUCGUGAUGGGGAUAGAUUAUUGCAAUUAUUAAUCUUCAACGAGGAAUUCCUAGUAAGCGCGAGUCAUCAGCUCGUGCUGAUUACGUCCCUGCCCUUUGUACACACCGCCCGUCGCUCCUACCGAUUGGAUGAUCCGGUGAGCUAUUCGGACUUUCGCAUUGUCGAUUUUCGGCUUUACGAGGGAAAGUCUCGCGAACCUUAUCAUCUAGAGGAAGGAGAAGUCGUAACA
Molecule: ribosomal RNA, 323 nt
Filed under: uncultured eukaryote
Lineage: Eukaryota
Description: partial 18S ribosomal RNA
Rfam family: Eukaryotic small subunit ribosomal RNA
Source: RNAcentral